UUUAUUUUCCUAGAGAAUCAAGGGUACGACUUAGGGCUAUUAUUUUGGUGGUGAGUUUAACAAUUCUUCUGCUGCGUUAUUGACAGGUACGGUAAUAUGUUCUCGCCCUGCAAUUUAAUCGAACAAUGGUAUCAGAGUCAGGUUAUUUGUUCAUGUUUGUUGGUUGCCUUCAUAAAAUACUAUGUUUGGUAGAGUCCCUUAUUUAGUAUCCAUCGAAUUAUGUGAUAACAGUGUGUGGGCGUUAUGGCUAAGUUGUGGAAAUGAAAUAAAUAUUUUUUAAUUGAUUGUUUUGUUUCUUUAAAUAUGGAAUAAAUAAAGUAGAAUUGCAGAUUUCUCUUUAACUGUCCCGUAUGAUUUUAGUGUCGUAUGCGUCGAAGAAAUUGGUUUAUUGCCGGUAAUAUGCACUUUGUGAUUUCUUUGGUAAUCCAUGAUUUACGGAGAUGAAAUCUGUAGACUCAAAGCUAAACAUAUAUUUUCUUCUACGUCCUUUUAAUGACACAAGGAUUCAAAUAUUCAUGGUGCCUUAGACUAAUGUGAAAAAUUAACAGUGGGAGCUUUCCCAAUUAUACUAGGAUCCAAAUACUCAUUAUUCUUUCGGACUGUUAAAUAUUUUUGAGUAUGUAAAGCAAACUUAGUAUUUAAAACUAAAAAGAAUAAUGGUUGCAGUUAUAUUGGGGAUCGUUUGCGAAAUUGAAGAUAAAACCAGUUGAUAUUUUUUUAAGGAGAACAGUUGUUGUGCCUAUAUUUUAUUCUUUUGGCAUCACAGACAGUAAUCUCUUCAAGAUAUAAGUAUUCAUAAAUUCUUUCCUUGAAUAUAUCUAAAGUGAAGGAUAGAUCAUUAAGCACUUUCUUAUUGCAGUAAGUUUGAAAGAUAUUACUAUAAAGUGCUUAUUUGUAUCUUUAUCUUGAAUUCUAAAGUAUUUCAGGAAUGAGUUUCGUUAGGCCAAAUGUACCAUAUGAUACCUUCUAACAUACCAAUGGAAACUAUUUAACUGAAUGAUUGUUUCUUUUUCAGUCAUGUUAUCAGUGGUAUCUUUCUUUGGAAAGGUUUUUGACUUAUCUAACUACGUAUUGCCCUUUCAUAAUUAAUAUACAUAUAUUUCAGAAUAUGCCAACUCAAUAUUAACAUGAAAGGUUCUUCAUCUCUUGGUCAUGUUUCAGUAGUUGAACACAUAGGUGUUAGUUACCUCACUGACAAUUGCAUUUUUUUAUUUGGCCAGUGGAUAAAUCUUGAUUUCUUAAAUAGAAAAUUUUGGUUAGUCCUAAUCUCUUAAAUUGAUAUACUUCUACAAGUUAUUGUGAUAUAUUUGCAAUAAUGAAUGGUUGUAGCCGUUCUAAAUAUUUCCUUGAUCCUAUUUCAGACAUGGCUGGACAGGGACAAGCUCGAAAAAUUUCAAGUGGGAGUUCUCGAAGUCGAGCAAGGAGACAACAUAGAAGGAUGCGGCGUCGCAUGACGUAUUUCUGUAAUGAUUUAGACUUGGAGCCUGAAGUCAUCAGGAAUGUCGCGAGAGCGAUGCAAAAUGAGUUAAGGGAUCGAAGGGUUAAACGAAGGGAAGGAGAAAGAAAUUUAGGAAGUUUAAAGAAUUCAAAAUGGGCCCUGAUAUUUCCAUUCCUGAACAUUUCUACCUUUUUCAGUUAAAAAGAGCUGAAUUGUCUAAUUAUAUAGAGAUUGCUAAUUGGGAAGCGUUAGCUAUU
This 1695-nucleotide long non-coding RNA is filed under the name Nicotiana tabacum (common tobacco). Its description in RNAcentral is "long non-coding RNA (NTAB_LNC007142)". The record is from RNAcentral. Lineage: Eukaryota; Viridiplantae; Streptophyta; Magnoliopsida; Solanales; Solanaceae.